GCUGCGGUGUACGAGCGGUUAAGGAGAUGGACUUGAAAUCCAUUGGGUUCUACCCACACAGGUUCGAAUCCUGUCUGCAGCG
This 82-nucleotide transfer RNA is filed under the name Cotesia glomerata. RNAcentral describes it as "tRNA-Ser". It matches the Rfam family "tRNA". From Rfam's summary of the family: Transfer RNA (tRNA) molecules are approximately 80 nucleotides in length. Their secondary structure includes four short double-helical elements and three loops (D, anti-codon, and T loops). Lineage: Eukaryota; Metazoa; Arthropoda; Insecta; Hymenoptera; Braconidae. The record is from RNAcentral.